Sus scrofa (pig) is the source of this 570-nucleotide non-coding RNA. Lineage: Eukaryota; Metazoa; Chordata; Mammalia; Artiodactyla; Suidae. The record is from RefSeq and is a predicted model, not a curated record.
CAGCGCUUGGUGGCUGUGCGCGAGGCCCGGGUGGCGCGGAGACGACAGCGGACCGGCCUCGGGGCGGCCGCGGUGCCUGGUGCAAAAGUUCUGGAGCACUAUUUCAGGUGGACCUCUCUUAACUUCUACUGAAACAAUAUCAAAUGAUUCAUACCUUUGAAGAGAGUCACACCCAUUUCAUGCAGAAUCAGCUACAAUAAAGCUAAGUCAGCCAACAAAGAUUUCUUGUGACUAAUUCUCCUGUGGGAAUGAAAGAAGAAGAGAGUAUAUCCUUGUACUUGCUUCAUUUUAGAAUUAGAACAGGGCAGUAUUACAGGGAAGACAGAGUUGAACAAAGUAACAUCCAUGUGAAAGCUCAUGUGGAGAAUUGUUUUAUGGUUCAUAAAAGUGCCUUUGUGAGUUUCCAUUGUUUGGACCUUGGAAUUUUCAGUAAUUGGAUCCUCAGAUAUAGAGUAUGGUUUAUUGUUCUUUAUACCUUGGAUUUGCACUUUAGAAAAUAAAGCCAUCUAAAACCAAAAAAAAAAAAAAAAAAAAAAAAAAAAACCCAAAACCCCAAAAAAAAAAAAAAAA